Molecule: ribosomal RNA, 518 nt
Filed under: Tsingymantis antitra
Lineage: Eukaryota; Metazoa; Chordata; Amphibia; Anura; Mantellidae
Description: partial 16S ribosomal RNA
Rfam family: Bacterial large subunit ribosomal RNA
Source: RNAcentral
AGUGACAGAGUUCAACGGCCGCGGUACCCUAACCGUGCGAAGGUAGCAUAAUCACUUGUUCUUUAAAUGAGGACUCGUAUCAACGGCAUCACGAGGGUUAUACUGUCUCCUUUUUCCAAUCAAUGAAACUGAUCUCCCCGUGAAGAAGCGGGGAUACACCUAUAAGACGAGAAGACCCCAUGGAGCUUUAAACCCAACGGCACUCCUAUCUUUACACACCCCCUCACCCAAUAGGACCCUGCACGCUUGGUUUUAGGUUGGGGUGACCGCGGAGAACAAAACAACCUCCACAAUGAAUGGGGCCUCCCCCUUAUCUAAGAGACACAUCUCUAAGAAUUAGCAAACUAACAUAAAAUGAUCCGAUAUUCGAUCAACGAACCAAGUUACCCUGGGGAUAACAGCGCAAUCUACUUCAAGAGCUCCUAUCGACAAGUAGGUUUACGACCUCGAUGUUGGAUCAGGGUAUCCCAGUGGUGCAGCAGCUACUAACGGUUCGUUUGUUCAACGAUUAAAACCCU